CUCUUAAAACUUCUCUCAGUUCGGACUGGAGUCUGCAACUCGACUCCACGAAGGCGGAAUCGCUAGUAAUCGCGAAUCAGCAUGUCGCGGUGAAUACGUUCCCGGGUCUUGUACACACCGCCCGUCAAAUCAUGGGAGUCGGAAGUACCCAAAGUCGCUUGGCUAACUUUUAGAGGCCGGUGCCUAAGGUAAAAUCGAUGACUGGGAUUAAGUCGUAACAAGGUAGCCGUAGGAGAACCUGCGGCUGGAUCACCUCCUUUCUAAGGA
This 267-nucleotide ribosomal RNA is filed under the name Oenococcus oeni. RNAcentral's name for it is "partial 16S ribosomal RNA". It matches the Rfam family "Bacterial small subunit ribosomal RNA", at positions 1273 to 1533 of the family's 1533-position model. Lineage: Bacteria; Bacillati; Bacillota; Bacilli; Lactobacillales; Lactobacillaceae. The record is from RNAcentral.